ACGCUGCCGGCAGGCCUAACACAUGCAAGUCGAGCGGAUGAAGGGAGCUUGCUCCUGANUUCAGCGGCGGACGGGUGAGUAAUGCCUAGGAAUCUGCCUGGUAGUGGGGGAUAACGUCCGGAAACGGGCGCUAAUACCGCAUACGUCCUGAGGGAGAAAGUGGGGGAUCUUCGGACCUCACGCUAACAGAUGAGCCUAGGUCGGAUUAGCUAGUUGGUGGGGUAAAGGCCUACCAAGGCGACGAUCCGUAACUGGUCUGAGAGGAUGAUCAGUCACACUGGAACUGAGACACGGUCCAGACUCCUACGGGAGGCAGCAGUGGGGAAUAUUGGACAAUGGGCGAAAGCCUGAUCCAGCCAUGCCGCGUGUGUGAAGAAGGUCUUCGGAUUGUAAAGCACUUUAAGUUGGGAGGAAGGGCAGUAAGUUAAUACCUUGCUGUUUUGACGUUACCAACAGAAUAAGCACCGGCUAACUUCGUGCCAGCAGCCGCGGUAAUACGAAGGGUGCAAGCGUUAAUCGGAAUUACUGGGCGUAAAGCGCGCGUAGGUGGUUCAGCAAGUUGGAUGUGAAAUCCCCGGGCUCAACCUGGGAACUGCAUCCAAAACUACUGAGCUAGAGUACGGUAGAGGGUGGUGGAAUUUCCUGUGUAGCGGUGAAAUGCGUAGAUAUAGGAAGGAACACCAGUGGCGAAGGCGACCACCUGGACUGAUACUGACACUGAGGUGCGAAAGCGUGGGGAGCAAACAGGAUUAGAUACCCUGGUAGUCCACGCCGUAAACGAUGUCGACUAGCCGUUGGGAUCCUUGAGAUCUUAGUGGCGCAGCUAACGCGAUAAGUCGACAACGUGGGGAGUACGGCCGCAAGGUUA
RNAcentral lists this ribosomal RNA (868 nucleotides) under uncultured Pseudomonadales bacterium. Its description in RNAcentral is "bacterial SSU rRNA". It matches the Rfam family "Bacterial small subunit ribosomal RNA", at positions 33 to 896 of the family's 1533-position model. Lineage: Bacteria; Pseudomonadati; Pseudomonadota; Gammaproteobacteria; Pseudomonadales. The record is from RNAcentral.